Molecule: transfer RNA, 64 nt
Filed under: Marmosa murina (murine mouse opossum)
Lineage: Eukaryota; Metazoa; Chordata; Mammalia; Didelphimorphia; Didelphidae
Description: tRNA-Lys
Source: RNAcentral
CAUUUUUAAGCAAUCACAAUAUACUUUUAAGUAUAAAUGAGACAUAAAAUCUCCUUAAAACAAA